RNAcentral lists this ribosomal RNA (468 nucleotides) under uncultured bacterium. RNAcentral describes it as "partial 16S ribosomal RNA". It matches the Rfam family "Bacterial small subunit ribosomal RNA", at positions 28 to 507 of the family's 1533-position model. The record is from RNAcentral.
GACGAACGCUGGCGGCGUGCUUAACACAUGCAAGUCGAACGGAAAGGCCCUGCUUUUGUGGGGUGCUCGAGUGGCGAACGGGUGAGUAACACGUGAGUAACCUGCCCUUGACUUUGGGAUAACUUCAGGAAACUGGGGCUAAUACCGGAUAGGAGCUCCUGCUGCAUGGUUGGGGUUGGAAAGUUUCGGCGGUUGGGGAUGGACUCGCGGCUUAUCAGCUUGUUGGUGGGGUAGUGGCUUACCAAGGCUUUGACGGGUAGCCGGCCUGAGAGGGUGACCGGCCACAUUGGGACUGAGAUACGGCCCAGACUCCUACGGGAGGCAGCAGUGGGGAAUAUUGCACAAUGGGCGGAAGCCUGAUGCAGCAACGCCGCGUGCGGGAUGACGGCCUUCGGGUUGUAAACCGCUUUCGCCUGUGACGACGCGUGAGUGACGGUAAUGGGUAAAGAAGCACCGGCUAACUACGUG